Molecule: long non-coding RNA, 6493 nt
Filed under: Pan troglodytes (chimpanzee)
Lineage: Eukaryota; Metazoa; Chordata; Mammalia; Primates; Hominidae
Description: long non-coding RNA NONPTRT008836
Source: RNAcentral
CCCCGAUACCAGAUCUCUGUCCUUGAUCUACCUGCUAGACUUGGCCCCAGGUCCCCAGUCCAUGACUCCCCAGCCCAGCCUCCAUCCUGCCCCCACAACCCAACCUCCAAGAAGGCCCACUUUGCCUUCCUCUCUGGGUUGCCUCCCACCCCCAGAAAAAGGCUAUGAGGGUCUCAGGCCCUGUGGACUGACCUGGUCUAGCUUGCCAGAGGUGGCCAGGAGCUUGGGUGGGUGGCUGGGUUCACGAUACUGUGGUGGGGCUUUGUCACUGCCACCACUGCUGCUGCUGCCUCCGCUGCUGCCAACCACGUUGCCACAGACAUCGGUGUGGUCACUGCCCCGCAGCUCACCAUUGAGGUAGAGGGAGUUGGCGAGACCCUUGUCCUCUGAGGGGUAGCGGCCCGGCCUCUCCCUGCUGGCCCCACUGCCACUGCCUCGGGGGCCAGGGAAACUGCCCUGGCUGCCCCCACCCCCUGUGCGGGUACCCACACUCUUCAUGGCAAACUCCUGGGCAUGGGCCACCCCACUGCCCACGCUGCCCAUGGCCAGGCGGGGGUCCGGGGGUCCAAGCUCGGAGGGCCGUGGAGCAAAGGCCAGGAGAGGAUCCCGCCCUGGGUCAGCGCGCACAGGCAGCGUCUCCAGCUUCGCCAUGACUAAGCCAGGGGGGCACUGUGGGCACAGGUGGGAAGGCAGAGAUAGGUAAGACCCUACUCCUAUUCCCACCACCCCAGCCAAGUCAACCCGGCACCACUCUGCCCCUCAGUGUCCCCUUCCCUACAAUGGGUACAAAAAGUUCCCAGGCAUCCAAGGUGAAGGAAUAAGGCUGGGAUAAAAGAGAGAACUUGGGAAUGGGGGCUGCCUGUUGCCCACCUGAUAAAGCCCAACCCCCAGGGCUCCAUGCACAUAGCCCCCAGCGUUGCUCAGCUCAGCUCAGCUCAGCUCAGCGUUCCAUUCCUAAACUUCUGCCUUAGCCCCACCUCCACCAUGAGCUUCCCAGGCUCAGUGACCCUCUCAACUCUUUGCUGCAACCCCAGAAUUUUGGGGUUCUUUAUCUUGGGUCUGGGACCCUAAUAUCCCAACCUCAUGGGCUGGGGAAAUGGGGUUGGAAGGGGAGACCAGUACCUGAAUCCAACAGGGAACCAACCUCAGAAAUUAGGGGAGGGAGAGAAAUACACCCCUAUCCAAAAAUUGAGGGUGGGGGUCCUUCCCAGCCCCCUAACCUAAGUGUUGCAGUCAGGGCAGAAGUGGAAGCUCACUACCAGCGCAGGCUUCUCUCCUUGCCUUUCCAAGGGGUUGAGGGGCCGACGGGUCCUCAAGCCUGGGACCCUCCGAGGCCCGGUCUGCAGGGGCCAUGUGCCUCACUCUCGCAGUCGGGGCUCGGCCCGAACCAGCUGCGCGACUUUGGAGGGGCCGACUGAGCCAUCCCGGACUGCAAUUUUCUCCUCUGCGAAAUGGGAGGAAUGAAGGACCUAACUUGCGGGGCUGCCGCGUGCCAGGCGCCCCGAGGCGGCGAGCGCCUGAGGAAACGGGGGUCUUGGGGAGGGUGGGUAGGCGACGCACAUCUGGGUCGCGGGUGGGCGCCGCCAAGGGCACACCCUGUCCCUCGCGGACGGACGGGGGCCGCGGCUGCAGUAGGUGGCAGGCCUGCCCUCCCCAAGGUCUUCCCAGCUCGGCCGCACCGGGGCCCUGGGAAGACAGGGCCCCCUUCCCGGGAUCAGUCCUCCGCAGAGGUCCCAGGGCUGGCUGAGGCCGGGGCAGGGGACGCAGUGGCGCCAGCUGCUGGCGCUGACGGAGCCUCUCUCAGGGCCUGCGUUUCCCACAGGUGGGAGGGGGGAGGGGAGGGGAGGGCCCGCGCACCCUGCAGCGGCCCCAAGGAUCCUGCGCCUGCCGAACCCCGCAAAGAAUUCACUGCCACCAGGAAGACUUCCUGGAUUACUACCCUCUCCCGCUCCCUGUGGACCUUGACCCUGCUCAGCUUACCGUGAAGCCCUCUGAGUCCUUCUGUGGGUGCGCGUCCCCCUCCCCCAAGGCUGGCCCACAAGCGCAGGGGGAGCCAGGCCUCGGGUUACCUGUGCUCAGGGAGGCCGUGCUUCCUCGUUCCUUUGUCUCAAGUUCGCACCUGGGAACACCUGCCCCAGAGAUCUGCAUAAUGCAGCCGGGCAGGAGCACCAGGCAGUGUCUGCCUCGGGUUAGACCCUCAAAUAAGUGUGUGGGAAAUGGGAGAGGGCGCCCUUCAGGCCUUUUCCCACUACACCCUGCAUAAACCAGGCAGGGAGCCCUCCUUCCCUAUCAAGUUAAGGGGCCCACGUGGCACCCUAUGGCCCCACAGACCGUCUUCUACCCAGAUGCCCAGUUCUAAUGCUGAGUCCCUGGCCCAGACCAAGGGAACCUGACAAAACUGUUGUCCUUCGGGAGUCUUCUGGCCGCCACACCAGGAAUGAGAGCUCUAGGUUGUUGGAAAGUUCACUACCAAGCCUGUCCACUGUCUCUGUAGAAUUCCAUUCUCAGCAUCUGUCCCCACAGGUGUGGAGAAGAGCACUUCGCCACCCUCCUCCCUUGGACCCGUCUGUCCCCAUAAGCAAGGGCCAGGACUAGGAUGAGGACAGAGAGCCACGUAGGGCACAAAUGAAGGGCACAAACAGCAAGUACACAGCCCUGAGGGUGACAGCCUCCUUCCCUUUGUGCCUUGGGUCCCUCUCUGGCCUCACUCUAGUCCCUGCUCUGCCUCUACUCCCCAGCAUACUCCAGCCCCCUAUGCCUCAGCCCUGCAACCCCCUCCUACCUUAAGCAUGGACCCUUCUCUUGCCAUCUCUGGGUGCAAUGUGGGGAGCAGCUGGGGACUGGGAGGAUGAAGCCUGAAAGGCCUGAGGCUUGGAACCAGUAGGAAGGCCUGGGCAGGGUUUGGGAAAGAGCUGGCAAAAUUUCAUACAGAUGAGGUCAGGUGGUGGAGACAAGGGAUAACGCUGGACUGGGCACCAGCGUGGGUGUGACACUGUUAACAUGAUAGGGGGAGACUGCUUGGGGAAAAUAGUUGCUUUGGGAAACACCAGAGGAAGAUGCCUCUCAAGCACUAAAUGGAGGCCAAGCAAGGUGGCUCAUGCCUGUAAUCCCAGCACUUUGGGAGGUCAAGGUGGGCAGAUUACUUGAGGCCAAGAGUUCAAGACCAUCCUGGCCAAAUUGGUGGAACCCCAUCUCUACUAAAAAUACAAAAAUUAGCUGGGUGUGGUAUGCAUUCCUGUAAUCCCAGCUACUUGGGAGGCUGAGGCACGAGAACCCCCUUGAACCCAGGAGGCAGAGGUUGCAGUGAGCUGUGAUUGCACCACUGCACUCCAGCCUGGGUGACAGAGCGAGACUCUUUCCUUAAAAAAAAAAAAAAAAAAAAAAAAAAAAAGCACUAGAUAGAGAGAGAUUGAGAUCAUCAGUUUUCAAGGGUGCUGGGGGUGUAGGCCAGCAUUGAGCCAGGGAGCAAAGCCCCAGAAGUCUGGAAGGCACUCUGGGAGCAGGAAGAAGGCCAGGAGAAGGUGGGCCCUGAAGGCCAAGAUUGGGGGGAUUCAAGAAUGUGGGGACAGUUUCCAGUGUUAAAAAUAACAGGGCCAGGUAACAUUGGGGUUGGAGAGUGUGCUGCAGAUUUAGGAGCAGGUCUCGAGACAUCACCAAUGUCUAUGUCAGAAUGGUUUCAGAAAAGUGGUACAAGUGCCGGAUGCGGUGGCUCACACCUGUAAUGCCAGCACUUUGGGAGGCCAAGGCAGGCAAAUCACUUGAGGUCAGGAGUUCGAGACCAGCCUGGCCAACGUGGUGAAACCCCGUCUCUACUAAAAAUACAAAAAAUUAGCUGGGCGUGGUGGUGCACGCCUGUAAUCCCGCUACUCAGGAGGCUGAGGUGGGAGAAUCACUGGAACCCGGGAGGCAGAAGUUGCAGUGAGCCGAGAUCAUGCCACUGCACUCCAGCCUGGAAGACAGAGCGAGACUACAUCAAAAAAAAAAAAAAACAAAAAACAAAAAAACAGGUUGGCGCAGUGGCUUAUGCUUGUAAUCCUAGCACUUAGGGAGGUCCAAGACAGGUGGAUCCCCUAAGGUCAGGAGUUCGAGACCAGCCUGACCAACAGGGCAAAACCCUGCCUCUACUAAAAAUACAAAAAAAUUAGCUGGGUGUGGUGGUGCAUGCCUGUAAUCCCAGCUACUCAGGAGGCUGAGGCGGGAGAAUGGCUUGAACCCAGGAGGUGGAGGUUGCAGUGAGCCAAGAUCGCACCACUGCACUCCAGCAUAGGUGACAGAGCAAGACUCCCUCUCAAACAAAUAAACAAAACAGAACUAAAAAAGUGGUACAAAACAAAGGCAGUCCACAAGGCUAGAGGAGUGCAGAGAAAGACAUGGCAGAGUUCCUGCUAAAAGAGAAGACAGUUAUUUAAGGAGGUUUGAGAUUCAAGGGCUUUUUUAAUUUUAAAAUUAACCAUGGUAGAAACCUGUGUGUUAAUAUGCUGAGGGAAGUUGCCAAUAGUGAGAUGAAAGAUCUAGGCAAGGGGAUAGCAAGGUGACUGCACCAGAUACCUGGAUCUGGGCAGGAAUAAACCUCAACAGUGAUCAUGUUGACCUUGAGUGACAGUAUAAUGUUUGGGAAGGUGCUUUGUAAACUAUAAGGGGCAAUACAAACAUGUAGUACACCUUCUCUGAGAUCCGGGAAAGGACAACCUGAGCAUAGGUUGGGGCUGGUCAUAGGCCACUCUGCCCUACUGUUUCUCUAGAGUGUGUGUAGUCCCUAGCAAGUCUCAGAUGCCUCGAGUCGUGGAUGGAAACAAGGUCCCAGGACCAUUGUCCUGAGCCUCCUUUCUCCGUGCUCCACCUGGGGAAUGCUUGACUAUCAACCCACAGAAGCUCUCUCUGGAGCCUCACUGCCUAAAGAGCUUCUUGUCGUAAUUGUAACCUGUCAUGGUUAACCCCUUGCAAGCAUGCCCUGCCCCUUGUCUCUCCCAAGCUUUGGCUGCUGCAGCUUCUUUCCACAAAAUCCCAGCAGAUAGCCGGGCGUCGUGGUGCGUGUCUGUAAUCCCAGCUACUCGGGAGGCUGAGGCAUGAGAAUCGCUUGAACCCAGGAGGUGGAGGUUGCAGUGAUAUUGCGCCACUGCACUCCAGCAGCCUGGGCAACAGAGUGAGAUACCCCCUCAAAAAAAAAAAAAAAAAAAAAAAAUCCCAGCAGGACACCGGCAGGACAAGGAAGGGGAUGUUUCCCUGAUAAGCAGGAACUGAACUGAGAGGAAAGGUCAGGGUCCUGAACUAGUCCAGGUAACUGAGCAUGGUCUGCAAAGGCAGCCUCCUGGCAUCAGUGCACCACCCUGAGAUGACAGCCUGUUGCCUGACUGCCUCGAUCUCUGUCACCUCAGCCCUCAGUGCCUGGGGCAUUAUACACAGUAUUAGCGUCAUGAGGGGGCCAAAUGGACUCUACCUGACAGUUACACGUACAGGUACUUCCAACCCACCCCUCAACCUGUGUCUCUCCCAAAGCUAGGAACACUUGGGGUCUCAGAGGCCCCAACCCCAGCCCAUUCUAUCUCCUAAAAAUCUCUAGCCAGCCCCUCCAUCCAGCACCCCUGCUGGGGGCUCCUCAAUGGACUUUCUUCUCCUGCACUCCCUCCCCCAGGCAGCUGCCAGGGGACUCCUUCUAAAGGGCAAAGCUGAUCUUGCCCCUGCUCUGUCCAAAUCCUUCCAUGAGCAAGACCAAGUGCAGUAGACAGAGUUCUGGCAGCAUCAGCUCCAAGUGUAAAUCCCAGCUUGACUGAUUAGGGGUGCAACCUCAUGCAGGUUAUUUCACCUCGGGUUCUCACACCUACAUUGCAGGCAUUUUAAGAAGUAAAUGUAUGAUGGGUGAAAUGCCUGGUAUUCCUCUUGGUCCCCAGAACCAGAGCAGAGCUUGCAGCAGGGUCCCCAAGGACUCUCCUGAUGCCCCUCCUCUAUCUACCCUGACCUGAGCCCCUCUCUAGUUCACACACAAGCUCUUGCCAGCUCUCUGUGCCCAUCCUACAUGCUUCUAGACCAGUUCAAAGGCUGGCCUCAGGACAGCAUCCCUGAUCUCCACCCCCCAGAGGGGGCAUCUUGGAGCACUUGGCUGAGGACACCCCAGGGAGAUUUCACUCUCCCCAGGGCUGGCCUAUAGGUUUCCCAGGGGCACAGAGGGCAGAGUCCUGGGGGUCUCUGGGCCCUGCACCAAGGAAAUGCAGGGCAAAUGCCUGUGGGAAUGCUAGUUAUGGGCAAUGCAAAGAGGCAGUGAAUCCGGGCAGGGAGAGCAGGAGGGGUUUCCAGGAAGCAGGACUGAGGGAGGAAAGGGAUCUGGGGGCACUGCAGGGCUUUUGGGGUGCAGAGAUAUCCAGAACUUCUUGGUUGGGAUGAGUGAGGGGAGAUCCGUCUUCUCUCAGUGGCCUAAGCACUGGCGGCGGAAUGGGCCCAUCACCUAGCUACUGGCUCUGAUGAAGCCAGUGUUUCAGGACUGAGGGGGCCGAGAGCG